Long non-coding RNA from Salarias fasciatus (jewelled blenny), 5727 nucleotides. RefSeq lists it as uncharacterized. The record is from RefSeq and is a predicted model, not a curated record. The transcript has 8 exons. Lineage: Eukaryota; Metazoa; Chordata; Actinopteri; Blenniiformes; Blenniidae.
CUCUCUCUCUCUCUCUCUCUCUCUCUCUCUCUCUCUCUCUCUCUCUCUCUCUCUCUCUCUCGCACACACCCUCCCUCUCUCCCUCUCCCCCCUCUCUCUCUCCUCCUCUGUGUUCAGGCUUAGCUCCUCUCUCUAUAUGUAUAUUAACAAUGCCCAGUGCAAAGGCGCUGACAGAUUGGAUUUAUUUCGCCCGUGCAGAUUAGAGUCCCCCCGCCAAUCGAUGUCAGACAACAGUAUUUGGUAAAAAAAAAAUCAGCUCUAACUGAGAAGGAAUGGUGCUGAUGGGGUGAGAGGCAUUCCUAAACGUCCCCCUUGACGGUGCCUGAUUGCCUUCAUCUGCUCUGUCCUGUUCGCUCAGGAUCCUCCGCCAUCAGCUGAUCCGGGUUUUGUGUGGUUUUGCCUCAGUGAAGGACAGAAUGUGCAGGAGAUGUAAAUAUGCAAACUCAUGGGUAACCAUGCAUGCACGAAUACACACAUACAACCACACACACACACACACACACACACACCGCCCCCUCUCCAUCUGGUGAGUGGAGAGAGGAUCUGUGUGCUGCACAAGAGUUUUCCGUCACUCCAAACUGCGUCGAGCCUGAUCAACUCUCGGUAAUGACACACACACACACACACACACACAUUGGAGGCUGGUGUUUUUAAUUGUUGUCGUUACACUACAGUUUGGCCUCCUGAUGUGGAACAACAGCUUCAAUUCAAUUGAUCCGAGCUCUGAUUGGACCUCCUCCACCAAUGGGGGGGCCGGCGGACUGUCAAACAGCCAUGUGUCCUGAAGAGGGGACUCUUUUGUUUGCCUCCCAGCUCGGCCUCUGAUUGGCUCGGCCCUCAAUCCAAUAAGAAAUCAAGCAAAAGAUCCGGGGUCCUUAAUCUGUGAUGGUGAUGAUGACCCAGUUUAGCCCCCGCCCUCAGCUGGCGGUCGCCAAGGAGACGCUUCCCUUCUCAUCCCUGAACGGAACCGUCGGAGGCAGGCAAAGGUUAAUCCAACACACACACACGCAAAUAAAUACUCAUCAGCCAAAACAUUAAUACCCCCGACAGGUGAAGAACACUGCUCCAGGACUAGUUAGGGAAACACUUGGAACUAUUUUAGGACAUUUGGAAGUAAUAUCAAACUAUAUCUAUUUAUGACUGGCUUAAGUUUUACUGUGGGACUUAUUCUGGAUGAGUUUGGGAAACAUUGGGGGCUAGCUUUGAGCGUAUUUCACACUAAUUUUAGAGCCGUAUUAAACUUGCUUUGGGCGUAUUUCACUCACAAUCACCUCCACCUCUUGAUCUGUCUUGGCGUGACAUCCUGCGGCGCGGCCUCAGAGAUCUCUAUCGGGGUUCAGACUUCAGCAGGUGGUCAUAAUGUUCUGGCUGAUCGGCGCAUCUGUGAAUGCAGGGUUUGUCUCUGAUGCAAAUUCAUGCAAACCAGUCACAUCAGACGUCUCAGAGACACCUGCACUCCAGCCUCUGCUCUGAAUUUGCGUCCGAUGGCGAUCGCCGCUCCCCCCCCCCGUGCUGCGACGACGACGACGACGCGACGCGGCGCUGUGGAAUUCGUGCCCGGCCUCCGCGGCGCCCGCACCGUCCAAACCCGGCGAGCGCCCACCUCCUUCGGCAGCCAGGAAUACUACUGCACUCAUUUAUCUCAUCUUAUUUACGAUAUCUGACUCCUAUUGAUCUGCUCCAGUUUCUGCACGAUCAGCCUGAACUCAGGCUCCCGCUGCUGCAGCUCGACUGUUUGGAUGCUGCAAAUCAGUCUGGGCGAAGUACUGCCGCAGCUCCUCGCUGAUCUCCAUGUUGCUCACGUCGCACUCGAUCUCCCCGUCGGAGCUGCUGUCCUCGUCCCCGUCCUCCUGCCAGUCGGCGUAGCGCCGCUCCCGGGGCCGGGGCCGCGGCGGGCCGUAGGCGGCCUCCCAGGCCUUGCUGUAGGCCCGCCGGUGCCUCUGGUACCAGGCCAUGGCCUGGUGGUAGUGCUGCCAGUAGCGGGUGAAGACGGGGGCGGAAAACCAGGACAUCACGGCGCAUUCAUCCUCCUGACGACAAGAUGCUUCUGGUCAGUUUCACACUUUUUUAAAUGCUACAGAAUAUAAUUAUUUUCUGUGAUUGUAUAAAUUACCUAUUUAUACGAAGAUAUUUCAUCCUUAAUUGUCUAAAUUUGAUGGAAUGUUGACAAAUAUGGUGUUUAAAAAAAAGGUAUUUCUUUAGUAGUCACACUAUAUUCACAAUAGUGUAGUAGAUCUGAGUACAUAUAUAUAUAUAUAAUACACACACACACCUAUGCAGUAACUUCUUCCUGACUUUUCACACACAUUACGAUUGAAGGAAGCAAGUCUACCUUAUAAUAUAAUAAUGUCACAUGUAUUUACAAUUGUAUAUAAAGUGACAUACAUUGAGACGAGGUAAAUAUAUACAUUCUACAAUGUAUUUUUUUAUCGAGCUGCCUGAAAGCACACAUUAUUUCCCCUAAACUGCUCAUUUCACUCCUGGUUUAUUUUAAUUCUCACCUUUUAGUAUCAUGGAACACAAAUUAAUGUCACAGUGUUGAAUAAUAAUAGAAGAAACUAAAUGAAAAAUAUGAGAAAGUAACUGCAAAUUUCAGAUUGUAUGAUUGAUUUCAGUGCGCAUGCGCCGCGCAUUGAUACACCAAAACGCGGAGGAAAAAAUAGUCCGUGCAACCCGGCGAGUAUUUUUAUUGCUUAGUGACUUUUAAUUACAUAAUAACAAGACAUAUUUACUUGUAGCCACUGCGUUUGGUGUGAAAACUGCGAUGUAACGGUGAGAAACAGACUCACCAUGAUGCCAGCAGACUUGUGCCGCUCCGCGUCUCUCAGCUGCUUAAAAACCUGCAACACAGAACAACAUAACGUCCGCGUGGGGCUGAAACAUCACGUUAAUGCGCGAGAGACGCGGGAAAUGGUCUCGUUGAGGCGCAUUUACCUGUCCGGACUGAGAAUGUUUUGCUUCUCCCCGUGCUCCUUCCUCACAUGGACAUGUUCCCAGCAUGCUUUGAGGCUGACCAGGCUGACCGGGUGGCGCCCCCCAGCGGCCCCUCGCGGGCUCUGCACCUCAGCAUGAACCACCGUGAGACUGAGAUCAAACACUCAUCUGAGGAGUUCUCUAUCUGCUCCUGCAUGGAUGUAACACACAAUCUCAACCAUUUCACAGGAGAAAAAUCUGAAUUUGUUGAAUAAAUGACACGACAGCGUCAGAAUGUCGUAUUAUCCGUGCAGAUUUGAGCGUAGAAACAGAAUAGUUGAGUCUUGUGAGGCAUGUCAGACUGUCUAACUGGGUCAUGUUUUGGCUUCGGGCUUCAAAGCUUUCAGAGGAAACACAAAAAGACAGGCAUGCCUCCUUAAAAAUGCUGAAAUUUAAUAUUUCUCCAAGAUUUUUCCCAUGUUAAGUUUCAUUUGUCCCCAAAUAAUUGAUGCAUUUCAUUGUUUUCAAUCAGUGAAGUUCAUGAAGCUACAGAAAAGAACUCAUUAAUACAUCACCAUCCUAAUUUUAUGCAUGCCAAUAUGCGAAAAGGGUUUAAGAAAGCGAUAAAAGAAGUAUUAUUAAUACACAGAGACUGCUGGGUGUGAAUAAAUGUAGGUCACAUAACUGGGUUCACUUCUCCCUCUGCUGGCAGAUCAGACUGGAUGUGGACUUUUAUUGUAGUCUGACAUUUAAAUGCAGAUGUGCAGCCUGGAGGGUCAAAGUCAAAUAUUUUAAUUAAAAAAAAAGAAAAGAAAUGAAAACAAGACUCAUAUUUGUAAUCUGAAUACCUUGCUGCAGCAGACUGAGCUGCUGAACCACCUCAGGACGAACUCAACAGAAAGGUUCCAUAUUUAAUGGUGCUGUAGUUCAUAUGUGUUUCUGGGUGGUAUCUGUAGAUAUUUUAAGAAAUGUUCAGGUUUUAUUUGUGCUGCAGUAACUUCUUCCUGACUUCUCACCUGAUCUUGAAAAUAGUCUCAGACGUUUUCUUUGUCUUGUUUGACCUUGACAGUUUCGAAACUGAGACGCUGUCACGCUUCCUGUUCAGGAGUGAACCACCGCUGGUGUUUCUGACAGAGAUGAUAUUUAGGUUACAAGAAGUGGGUCAGUUGUUUGUUUUCUCAGUUACCUUUCAGAGCUCUCGUCUGCAGCGACAGAGAGAUGGACACGUUCAGACUGUGGUUUCUUCUGCUUCUGACCCUCUGUGACAGUGAAGAUUUCCUUGUGAAGAGAAUCAGGCAGAAAGCAGAAGUGACUCCAGUGUGUAACUCCAGCCACACUGUGGAUAUCAUCACUCUGCUGGUGUGUAAGAUCAGAACAGAGCGGAGCAGGACUGAACCCUGUUCUCUGAUCUACAAGUAUGAUGGACGUGGAUUCAGCUUUGAUCAGGGAUGUGGCUCCAGCUUCUUCCUCACUGGAAACAAUCAGACAUCGCUUCUCCACUUCCAGGAUUUGACUGCAGCUGACAGCGGGAACAUCACCUGUUCAUGUUCAUACCUAGAUGGAGUGUAUGUUCUCCAUCUCAGCAUCACUGUGGAAGAUUCAGAGGAAGAAGAGGGAGGUAUGAUAAUACCAACGGUCAUCUGUGCUUCAGUUUCUGUGGCUUUUUUUCUCACGCUGGCCUCAGUGAUGCUGGUGUUCAUCUGCACAAAACACCAACAAAGAAAAGAACCGGAUGCAGUGAGAAAACCUCCCGACAUGGACUUUGCAGACGUGGGGCCAUACAGCACCUUCAUCCCCACUGAGGCUGGACUUUACUCAGUGGUCCGGCUUCACUGCUCGUAGACACUCUGAGAAUUCAGACAGGAGAACACGAGAAAACCCGUCUGGGUGUUUUCAAAGUGGUCUCAACACAGAUAGAACAGAUGAAAAAUCAGAGCGUUAUUAGACGAAUACAAGAAGAUGGAUGAAAUAAAGAAAAGACCAGCGUACUGCCGAGAGAUGAGUCAAUUCAAUAUACACCUCAUUGUAAUUUUCUGUCUGACCACCAGAGGGCAACAUUUCACUGGGAAAUGAACCCUGUUAUGUUUCAGCAGUCUGUUUUCUAAACUCAUUCUCGUGGAAGCAAAAUGCGUUCACACAAUAUAACAGUAUACAACAUAUUGUAACAUCAUGGAAUACACGUUUUACAACUUUUUUUUCUCCUGAAUUGUAAGUUUCUACGUGUUAUUUUGAAAAUUAUCAGCUCUCCUUUAGCUUGGCUUGUGUAUCAGACAGCAGUCUGUGUUAAGAUACUCAAAUAGCUGAACAGAAUGAUCAAUACGUUACCGUCUGAAUCAUUUUCUGGUUUCACAAUGUAAAGACUUCCUCAGGUAGAAGAGAAUUGGAAGUUGGUCCUCAUCCAAUAUGGCCGCCACGCUGACCCAGUCAAUGGUCAGUGAAGAGUCUAUUAAGAUGGAUGUGUGACUGAUAGUGAAACUGCAACAUCAAACUCCUACAAGGGACAUCUUAAACCAAACCAGUGAUCCAUCAAUCAAAAUUUAUUGAUAACAUGACCAUUGUCUUCAACUCUCAGGAAAUCCAACUGAAAUGUGUUAACAGAAAUGCCUUUUCUUUUUCUGAAUAAAGCUGCAUUUUCUUAAACUCGUUAAUAAAUUUUAUAAUGACAAUAAGGAAGUUGCUCUAUUGUAGUUUUCAUUCUGGCGGUGAUGCAUUUCUACAUGCGGUCUCCAUAACGCCUCCCCAGUUGAUUGAGCCGGUGCUUCACUCAGGCUGUGUUGUGUGCAGUUUUUGUCUGAGUUAUAAUCUGAAUUAACU